Non-coding RNA from Sus scrofa (pig), 1262 nucleotides. The record is from RefSeq and is a predicted model, not a curated record. NCBI's taxonomy places the organism in Eukaryota, Metazoa, Chordata, Mammalia, Artiodactyla, Suidae.
CUGUCCCCCUGCCCAGAAGGACACAGAAGUCACUCUCUGCCUGAGCACUUCCCCCUGCCCUAGAAAGGCCAGAGACGCUGAGAGGGCGACUUCUGCUGCCAUAAACACGGGCGAUUGCAGUAAAGUUUGAAGUGGUCCCAACAGCUCCACUUGGGAUGCGGGCGAGCAUGUGGAUGGUAAUGGGUUUGCAGCAAGGAGGGCACGAGGAGCAACGCACGCGGUGUCACAUGCGUACCUGAGCAGGUGUGUACAAGACUGGUUUGUAUUCGCUCAGGAGAGGUAAACACUAUCUUCAGGGCAGUGUUUGGCUGAGAUGAUCUCUGUGUUCGGGUGAGUAAAGUUCUAAAUACGGUGAUGGAUUCUGUGUAGGGGCAGCGGGUGGGUAUCGCCUCCCCAGCUCAUCGUGGCGAUGGAUGCAGAAGAGAGACCAGGGAACUUUGCUCAGGGAUGCAAAAAAAAGAGGUGUCUGCAAGGGCCUGGGCACCCAAAAGGAAGUUACCUGGCAGGUGUCAAUCUUGCCUCUAGGAUACCCUGCGCACACAUUAGUUGAACGAAUUCGCCCAUUGUACCAGCGGGUCGAGUUACAUAAUUCGAGGUCGAUGAGGGCCACACGUGCCUCCUGCAGUGUAGGUGACGUCCUGGGGCCUACAGCCAGGCAACUCAGUGGGAAGAAAGCACGCAGCUGGAAGAGCUGACGAGAGACAGGAGAUGGAGGAGAGAGGAAGAGAGGAAAGACAUGGACGGUGGACAGGUGGCAGGGGCAGGAUGGAUGGAUGCAGCUGAAGAGUCCUAUUCAUCAAUGGCAGUGGCUUAUGGAGGUUGGCUGUGCGGUUAGCGACUGUACCGAGGACGUGCCAAGCAGUUGCCAUGAGCCACACAGGUGUCAUCGCCUGUAUUCCUCACAGCCACCUCGUGAGGGGUGGCUUCACCGGCUUAUUGCUUCCCCACACAACUUCGUUUGCUCCGAAAAUCAGUCUCCAGUCAGUAACUUUUCUGCGGGCACAGAGGUGAGCCAGGUCACUGUCCCUGCGGGCUGGCUGGACAGACGCCUCUGGCAACAUGACCCUCAGAGCACCCUCAUCCCCAGCAAGGGUCCAGGUCAACCAGAGCCUCAGGGACCUUCCUCACAGAGACUCGGGGAGAACACCCCUUGCGGAAGCCCCCCUCCGUGGGAUCCCACACUUACUUUUUGUUCUUGAAGCAGUGAGCAGCAGUGAGCACCCAGUGCGAGUUCAGCAAGAUGCCCCCGCACGUGUGGUACC